CCUACGGGAGGCAGCAGUGGGGAAUAUUGCACAAUGGGGGAAACUCUGAUGCAGCAACGCCGCGUGAAGGAAGACGGUUUUCGGAUUGUAAAGUUUUGUUUAUAGUGAAGAAUAAUGGCGGUAGCUAAGGAGCUAGCCACGGCUAACUACGUGCCAGCAGCCGCGGUUAUACGGAGGUGGCAAGCGUUGUCCGGAAUGACUGGGUUUAAAGGGAGCGAAGGCGGGAAGCGAAGUCAGCUGUGAAAGCUACGGGCUUAACUUGUAGACUGCAGUUGAAACUGGUUUUCUUGAGUGAAGUAGAGGUAGGCGGAAUUCGGGGUGUAGCGGUGAAAUGCGUAGAUAUACGGAAGAACACCGGUGGCGAAGGCGGCUUACUGGGCUGUAACUGACGCUGAGGCUCGAAAGUGUGGGGAGCAAACAGGAUUAGAUACCCGAGUAGUC
This 441-nucleotide ribosomal RNA is filed under the name uncultured bacterium. RNAcentral's name for it is "partial 16S ribosomal RNA". It matches the Rfam family "Bacterial small subunit ribosomal RNA", at positions 338 to 795 of the family's 1533-position model. The record is from RNAcentral.